RNAcentral lists this non-coding RNA (29 nucleotides) under Pyrococcus horikoshii OT3. Lineage: Archaea; Methanobacteriati; Methanobacteriota; Thermococci; Thermococcales; Thermococcaceae. The record is from RNAcentral.
CUUUCCACACUACUAAGUUCUACGGAAAC